Non-coding RNA from Arachis ipaensis, 765 nucleotides. The record is from RefSeq and is a predicted model, not a curated record. NCBI's taxonomy places the organism in Eukaryota, Viridiplantae, Streptophyta, Magnoliopsida, Fabales, Fabaceae.
CUGAAUUCCAUCAAACGAAGAAACAAGAACUGAGCUGAGAGGUUUCACAGCGAAGACUGAAGUCGCCACCAAAUAUCGGCACUUUCUUUCCGGCGUUGCUUCCACAGUUGAAUGCUCAAGUUUUGGACUGGAUCAGAGACAACUUAAAGAAGGCUACUCGCUGUUAUAAUAGAGCAUCUUUUUGUGUUAUCUUAACAAGUUACAAGUUGUGUCCCAACCCCUUUUCCUUCCCCAAUCUUCUCUUUUUCCUUUUUCAUCUCCAACCCGUCCCCUUUCCCUCCCUCGGCCCAACCCUUCUCCUUCCCUUUUUGCUUCCCCAACCUGACGCCCUUCUUCUUUUCCUUCCUCUUCUACUUUCCCAAUCUGAGGUCUUUUUCCUUCUCCUUCUCCUUUCUAUUCUGAUGUCCUCCCCCUUCCCAACCAUACUCCCACACUCACAAGAGCUCUUUUCAACCUUCGCUGUCGCCGCUUCUCGCCGGCAUCUGUUUCAGUCCCCUAAGCUUUUUUUUUUUUUUUUUUUUUCAAAAUGAUGCCAUUUUAAGGUUUCGAUGAACGAAAAAUGCUUUAGGAACUACUGAGUCCCGGAGUGCAAUUUCGAAGAUAAAUUUGGAUAAUUAUUAACUUCAGAAAUUACUUUGAAGCUCGAGUGCAACUUUAGGGACUACUUAAGUAUUCUCUCUUGUCAUGACUAGAAUAAAGAUAAAAUGAUCUAUAUUGUUGUCUUUUAUUUAUUUACGUAAGUAGAUGGUCUCAUUAAUAAUUUCA